This 342-nucleotide unclassified non-coding RNA is filed under the name soil metagenome. RNAcentral's name for it is "partial contains 5.8S ribosomal RNA, internal transcribed spacer 2, and large subunit ribosomal RNA". The stretch from base 1 to 120 matches the Rfam family "5.8S ribosomal RNA", at positions 35 to 154 of the family's 154-position model. The record is from RNAcentral.
GAUGAAGAACGUAGUGAAAUGCGAUACGUAAUGUGAAUUGCAGAAUUCAGUGAAUCAUCGAGUCUUUGAACGCACAUUGCGCCCCCUGGUAUUCCGGGGGGCAUGCCUGUCCGAGCGUCAUUGCUGCCCUCAAGCACGGCUUGUGUGUUGGGCCUCCGUCCUCCUCCCGGGGGACGGGCCCGAAAGGCAGCGGCGGCACCGCGUCCGGUCCUCGAGCGUAUGGGGCUUCGUCACCCGCUCUUGUAGGCCCGGCCGGCGCUUGCCGACACAUCAAUCUUUUUUCCAGGUUGACCUCGGAUCAGGUAGGGAUACCCGCUGAACUUAAGCAUAUCAAAGCGGAGG